GGCGAACGGCUGAGUAACACGUGGGCAACCUGCCCUUUGCACUGGGAUAGCCUCGGGAAACCGAGGUUAAUACCGGAUACUCCAUAUUUGUCGCAUGGCGAAUAUGGGAAAGCUCCGGCGGCAAAGGAUGGGCCCGCGGCCUGUUAGCUAGUUGGUGGGGUAGUGGCCUACCAAGGCAGUGAUGGGUAGCCGGGUUGAGAGACCGACCGGCCAGAUUGGGACUGAGACACGGCCCAGACUCCUACGGGAGGCAGCAGGA
Molecule: ribosomal RNA, 259 nt
Filed under: uncultured Atopobium sp.
Lineage: Bacteria; Bacillati; Actinomycetota; Coriobacteriia; Coriobacteriales; Atopobiaceae
Description: partial 16S ribosomal RNA
Rfam family: Bacterial small subunit ribosomal RNA
Source: RNAcentral